This 286-nucleotide long non-coding RNA is filed under the name Chinchilla lanigera (long-tailed chinchilla). RNAcentral describes it as "lncRNA (ENSCLAG00000026628.1)". Lineage: Eukaryota; Metazoa; Chordata; Mammalia; Rodentia; Chinchillidae. The record is from RNAcentral.
GCCCACACAAAAAGAAUCAGCAGUGGCCAAUUGCUCAGGGCACCAGCACUGAGUCUUCUUCUGGGCUCAUAGACAAGGAAGUAGCAUUAAACAAAAAGCCCUAAUGAUAAAACCAUGAUACUAAGAGCAUGAUUGGAGGUUCUAGAUCUUCAUCACAGCUGCCUUGCCUGCCCUUCCAAAUCGAAAUGGGCUCUUCCACCUUCAAGCAUCCAUUAUGACAGGUGCAGUGAUGCUGCUAUUGAAGCAACUGUUUGCUUACAUCACCUCCACUUUUGUCAAAUUUUCU